CGGUAGCUUGCUCCYGGGAUGACGAGCGGCGGACGGGUGAGAUAAURUCUGGGAAACUGCCUGAUGGAGGGGGAUAACUACUGGAAACGGUAGCUAAUACCGCAUAACGUCUUCGGACCAAAGUGGGGGACCUUCGGGCCUCAUGCCAUCAGAUGUGCCCAGAUGGGAUUAGCUAGUAGGUGGGGUAACGGCUCACCUAGGCGACGAUCCCUAGCUGGUCUGAGAGGAUGACCAGCCACACUGGAACUGAGACACGGUCCAGACUCCUACGGGAGGCAGCAGUGGGGAAUAUUGCACAAUGGGCGCAAGCCUGAUGCAGCCAUGCCGCGUGUAUGAAGAAGGCCUUCGGGUUGUAAAGUACUUUCAGCGAGGAGGAAGGCAUUAAGGUUAAUAACCUYGGUGAUUGACGUUACUCGCAGAAGAAGCACCGGCUAACUCCGUGCCAGCAGCCGCGGUAAUACGGAGGGUGCAAGCGUUAAUCGGAAUUACUGGGCCGUAAAGCGCACGCAGGCGGUCUGUCAAGUCGGAUGUGAAAUCCCCGGGCUCAACCUGGGAACUGCAUUUCGAAACUGGCAGGCUAAAGUCUUGUANAGGGGGGUAGAAUUCCAGGUGUAGCGGUGAAAUGCGUAUAGAUCUGGAGGAAUACCGGUGGCGAAGGCGGCCCCCUGUACAAGACUGACCUCAGGUGCGAA
Molecule: ribosomal RNA, 692 nt
Filed under: bacterium spbL4type3-1
Lineage: Bacteria
Description: bacterial SSU rRNA
Rfam family: Bacterial small subunit ribosomal RNA
Source: RNAcentral